RNAcentral lists this long non-coding RNA (263 nucleotides) under Elaeis guineensis (African oil palm). RNAcentral's name for it is "long non-coding RNA (EGUI_LNC037621)". The record is from RNAcentral. Lineage: Eukaryota; Viridiplantae; Streptophyta; Magnoliopsida; Arecales; Arecaceae.
CAACUAUUUGUCAAGUCUAGCUUGUUGACUAUGAAUUAGAUAACCUGAUGACAUUGGGUUAACCUGGUCAAGAAAAUGAUUUAAUUUCUAAAAGCCAAAAAUUAUUCUUAAAUUUUGAGUCAGAAUAUAUAAUUAAUUUUUUGGGGGUGGAAUCGUGAUCAGACAGAGGGCUCUCCGCCCUCUGCUUCCCCUUUCCGGGGGAUACAGGGCGAUUGGCCCAAGUGGGCCGUCUGUGGUGGAACCAGAUCUAGGGUUUUAGGGNN